AGAGCAGUGCAGCACGAGGGGGCCUCGGGGCCUGACACAGUCCCCGAGCUUCGGUUGCCAGCUCUACCAAGUGGCAAGGUUUCCGUGUGUGUCCACCUGGGGCUGGUUGGAGGACUGGCCGCAGGGUCCAUCAGCUACGUGACCUUGGACAAUGACAAAAUGCCUUCCAGGACUAAAAAGAAUUGGUGAGGUACACAGCAAAACAGAUGAAUCUCAAAAACAUGCUGAGGUAAAGAAGCCAGACCCAAAGACAUCUCCGCCGUGGCCAGAUGGAGAUUCAAGACCCAAGCCUGCUUUUCUGCAUCAGUGCCGGCUCUGCGUGUUAAGAUACAACAGUCAAAACAGAAACCACAGCCACAGCCACAGCCUGCAAAAAUUCCCAGGCCAGAGACGGAGUGCAAGCCACAUCAGGGAUAACGCUGGAUCCUUAACACACCAAGCCACCACGGAACUCUGAGUUGAGGUUAUUUCUGAUCCAGGUAAGCAAGGCAUCUUCGGGCCACCUCCCCACUCAGAUUCCCAAGAGAAGCUGGAGCGAGGGCUCCUGCCCCAUUUUCCACUAAGGUACUGGCUGAGUCUGCCAGCCUCACUGUCUUGUCUUCUGGGAAACGGGUUACAUGGAUGUCAUUGCCAAGAGCAGGUUCCCUGCAGCAAAGAGCUGUCGUGGGGCAGGGUGGGGGCCCUACUGAGGAGAGAGAGCGGCCUUCUCGGGGCCCAGCUCCCCUCUCCGCUAUCAUAUCUGAGACAGGCUGACCCUCCAGCCCUGCAGCCCAGCCCAGGAACAGCAACCACUUCCUGGAGCGAGUUCCCUGAACAGGCGGCCCUCAGGCCAGGCUCCGGGAGGUCAGCUCUGUAGGAAAGAGGGAGGGGCACAGCCUUGGGGAGCCUGAGGCAUCCCCAGCAGCGCUCCUGCCCCUGAGGGCCGCCAGCUCAGGGCAAGGCCCACGUUAGCAAGCCCCACACAGGCUGUGCUGCUUCCAAGACACCUCUGCCAGGCAAGGGGCCUAUGCCACCCAGCAGCUAUGUGACCUGGGCCAUGCCUCUUGCAUGUCCUGAAAACAGGGAUAAGCCCUGCCCUGCCCUGAGCUGGGAUCCUUGGCAGCACAGAGGCUGAUGGGGACAGGCUGGAGGUCCAGGCUGGCCAGGGACACACCCAGCAUCAGGGAAUCUAAGGCCUGAUCACCCAAGCGCCCCCGCCACCUGGGGGGGGGGUGUGGGCAGUUACCUCCUCCAUGAGACAGUGGCAUCCAGCACCCUCAGCACACCGUGGUGACCACAUCUUGGUAUAACUAUAUAUGCUAAUUAUAAACAGCAAUUAUUAUUGAAAGAGCACUGGCCUUGGAAGUCAGAAGCUGCAGAUAUGAACCCCAGCACUGCCGCCUCCAGGCUGUAUCCUCCAGUAAGUUCUUGAUCUCCUUAGUGCCGGUUCUCUGUCCGCAAAUAAGGAUCCAGCGCUGACUCUGAGCAACAGAGAAAACAGUGGAAGGGAAAGUCUGCCAACUGCAAAUGGUCACAUCUCCUCCAUCA
This 1527-nucleotide long non-coding RNA is filed under the name Sus scrofa (pig). RNAcentral's name for it is "lncRNA (ENSSSCG00035072047.1)". The record is from RNAcentral. Lineage: Eukaryota; Metazoa; Chordata; Mammalia; Artiodactyla; Suidae.